CCUACGGGAGGCAGCAGUAGGGAAUCUUCCGCAAUGGACGAAAGUCUGACGGAGCAACGCCGCGUGAGUGAUGAAGGUUUUCGGAUCGUAAAACUCUGUUGUUAGGGAAGAACAAGUACCGUUCGAAUAGGGCGGUGCCAUGACGGUACCUAACCAGAAAGCCCCGGCUAACUACGUGCCAGCAGCCGCGGUAAU
RNAcentral lists this ribosomal RNA (195 nucleotides) under uncultured Virgibacillus sp. RNAcentral describes it as "partial 16S ribosomal RNA". It matches the Rfam family "Bacterial small subunit ribosomal RNA", at positions 338 to 524 of the family's 1533-position model. Lineage: Bacteria; Bacillati; Bacillota; Bacilli; Caryophanales; Bacillaceae. The record is from RNAcentral.